CUGAUGGGCAACGAAGGCCCUCGUCUAUGAAUAUUUUUACAAACGCUCAAAGUAUGACAGAAUGUAUAUCAUAUUGCGUCUGAUAAACGUGACAAAUACAACUUUCAACAACGGAUCUCUUGGCUCUCGCAUCGAUGAAGAACGCAGCGAAAUGCGAUAAGUAAUGUGAAUUGCAGAAUUCAGUGAAUCAUCGAAUCUUUGAACGCACCUUGCGCUCCUUGGUAUUCCGAGGAGCAUGCCUGUUUGAGUGUCAUGAAAUCCUCAACUGCCCCAGGCUUUGUGGCCUGCGGGUGAAGUUGGACUUGGAGGUAUGCUGGCGCAUGAAUGGGCUUUUGUGCCCCGUCUCGCUUGUUGGCUCCUCUUGAAUGCAUGAGCUUUCCAAUCCUUGGCAAAGUAUCGUCGAUGUGAUAAUUGUCUACGUCGCCUGAGAAAGCCGAAAAGGGGAAAUCUUUGAUCACGCUGGGGUGACCUGCGUCUGACAAAUUCGACCUCAAAUCAGGUAGGACUACCCGCUGAACUUAAGCAUAUCAAUAAGCGGAGGAAAAGAAACUAACAAGGAUUCCCCUAGUAACUGCGAGUGAAGCGGGAAAAGCUCAAAUUUAAAAUCUGGCGGCCUCCGGUCGU
This 624-nucleotide ribosomal RNA is filed under the name uncultured fungus. RNAcentral's name for it is "eukaryotic LSU rRNA". The stretch from base 100 to 253 matches the Rfam family "5.8S ribosomal RNA". The record is from RNAcentral. Lineage: Eukaryota; Fungi.